UUAAGCGACUAAGCGUACACGGUGGAUGCCUAGGCAGUCAGAGGCGAUGAAGGGCGUGCUAAUCUGCGAAAAGCGUCGGUAAGCUGAUAUGAAGCGUUAUAACCGACGAUACCCGAAUGGGGAAACCCAGUGCAAUACGUUGCACUAUCGUUAGAUGAAUACAUAGUCUAACGAGGCGAACCGGGGGAACUGAAACAUCUAAGUACCCCGAGGAAAAGAAAUCAACCGAGAUUCCCCCAGUAGCGGCGAGCGAACGGGGAGGAGCCCAGAGUCUGAAUCAGUUUGUGUGUUAGUGGAAGCGUCUGGAAAGUCGCACGGUACAGGGUGAUAGUCCCGUACACCAAAAUGCACAGGCUGUGAACUCGAUGAGUAGGGCGGGACACGUGACAUCCUGUCUGAAUAUGGGGGGACCAUCCUCCAAGGCUAAAUACUCCUGACUGACCGAUAGUGAACCAGUACCGUGAGGGAAAGGCGAAAAGAACCCCGGCGAGGGGAGUGAAAUAGAACCUGAAACCGUGUACGUACAAGCAGUGGGAGCACCUUCGUGGUGUGACUGCGUACCUUUUGUAUAAUGGGUCAGCGACUUAUAUUUUGUAGCAAGGUUAACCGAAUAGGGGAGCCGUAGGGAAACCGAGUCUUAACUGGGCGUCUAGUUGCAAGGUAUAGACCCGAAACCCGGUGAUCUAGCCAUGGGCAGGUUGAAGGUUGGGUAACACUAACUGGAGGACCGAACCGACUAAUGUUGAAAAAUUAGCGGAUGACUUGUGGCUGGGGGUGAAAGGCCAAUCAAACCGGGAGAUAGCUGGUUCUCCCCGAAAGCUAUUUAGGUAGCGCCUCGUGAACUCAUCUUCGGGGGUAGAGCACUGUUUCGGCUAGGGGGCCAUCCCGGCUUACCAAACCGAUGCAAACUCCGAAUACCGAAGAAUGUUAUCACGGGAGACACACGGCGGGUGCUAACGUCCGUCGUGAAGAGGGAAACAACCCAGACCGCCAGCUAAGGUCCCAAAGUCAUGGUUAAGUGGGAAACGAUGUGGGAAGGCACAGACAGCCAGGAUGUUGGCUUAGAAGCAGCCAUCAUUUAAAGAAAGCGUAAUAGCUCACUGGUCGAGUCGGCCUGCGCGGAAGAUGUAACGGGGCUAAACCAUGCACCGAAGCUGCGGCAGCGACACUUAGGUGUUGUUGGGUAGGGGAGCGUUCUGUAAGCCGUUGAAGGUGACCUGUGAGGGUUGCUGGAGGUAUCAGAAGUGCGAAUGCUGACAUAAGUAACGAUAAUGCGGGUGAAAAACCCGCACGCCGGAAGACCAAGGGUUCCUGUCCAACGUUAAUCGGGGCAGGGUGAGUCGACCCCUAAGGCGAGGCUGAAAAGCGUAGUCGAUGGGAAACAGGUUAAUAUUCCUGUACUUGGUGUUACUGCGAAGGGGGGACGGAGAAGGCUAGGCUGGCCGGGCGACGGUUGUCCCGGUUUAAGCGUGUAGGGGGAGUGACCAGGUAAAUCCGGUUGCUUAUCAACCCUGAGGCGUGAUGACGAUGCACCACGGUGCAGAAGCAGUUGAUGCCAUGCUUCCAGGAAAAGCCUCUAAGCAUCAGGUAACAUUAAAUCGUACCCCAAACCGACACAGGUGGUCAGGUAGAGAAUACUCAGGCGCUUGAGAGAACUCGGGUGAAGGAACUAGGCAAAAUGGUGCCGUAACUUCGGGAGAAGGCACGCUGGCGUUAGGUGAAAGGACUAGCUCCUGGAGCUGAAGCCAGUCGCAGAUACCAGCUGGCUGCAACUGUUUAAUAAAAACACAGCACUGUGCAAACACGAAAGUGGACGUAUACGGUGUGACGCCUGCCCGGUGCUGGAAGGUUAAUUGAUGGGGUCAGCCGCAAGGGGAAGCUCUUGAUCGAAGCCCCAGUAAACGGCGGCCGUAACUAUAACGGUCCUAAGGUAGCGAAAUUCCUUGUCGGGUAAGUUCCGACCUGCACGAAUGGCGUAAUGAUGGCCAGGCUGUCUCCACCCGAGACUCAGUGAAAUUGAACUCGCUGUGAAGAUGCAGUGUACCCGCGGCAAGACGGAAAGACCCCGUGAACCUUUACUAUAGCUUGACACUGAACAUUGAGCCUUGAUGUGUAGGAUAGGUGGGAGGCCUUGAAGUGUGGACGCCAGUCUGCAUGGAGCCAACCUUGAAAUACCACCCUUUAAUGUUUGAUGUUCUAACUCGGCCCCAUGAUCUGGGGUGAGGACAGUGUCUGGUGGGUAGUUUGACUGGGGCGGUCUCCUCCCAAAGAGUAACGGAGGAGCACGAAGGUUAGCUAAUCACGGUCGGACAUCGUGAGGUUAGUGCAAAGGCAUAAGCUAGCUUGACUGCGAGAGUGACGGCUCGAGCAGGUACGAAAGUAGGUCUUAGUGAUCCGGUGGUUCUGAAUGGAAGGGCCAUCGCUCAACGGAUAAAAGGUACUCCGGGGAUAACAGGCUGAUACCGCCCAAGAGUUCAUAUCGACGGCGGUGUUUGGCACCUCGAUGUCGGCUCAUCACAUCCUGGGGCUGAAGUAGGUCCCAAGGGUAUGGCUGUUCGCCAUUUAAAGUGGUACGCGAGCUGGGUUUAGAACGUCGUGAGACAGUUCGGUCCCUAUCUGCCGUGGGCGUUGGAAGAUUGAGAGGGGCUGCUCCUAGUACGAGAGGACCGGAGUGGACGAAUCACUGGUGUUCGGGUUGUCACGCCAAUGGCAUUGCCCGGUAGCUAAAUUCGGAAGAGAUAACCGCUGAAAGCAUCUAAGCGGGAAACUUGCCUCGAGAUGAGUCUUCCCUGGGGCUUAAAGCCCCCUGAAGGAACGUUAAAGACUAUGACGUUGAUAGGCUGGGUGUGUAAGUGCAGCGAUGUAUUGAGCUAACCAGUACUAAUGAUCCGUGAGGCUUAACCUU
RNAcentral lists this ribosomal RNA (2905 nucleotides) under Yersinia pestis Antiqua. RNAcentral describes it as "bacterial LSU rRNA". It matches the Rfam family "Bacterial large subunit ribosomal RNA". Lineage: Bacteria; Pseudomonadati; Pseudomonadota; Gammaproteobacteria; Enterobacterales; Yersiniaceae. The record is from RNAcentral.